CCUACGGGUGGCUGCAGUGGGGAAUAUUGCACAAUGGGGGAAACCCUGAUGCAGCGACGCCGCGUGAGCGAAGAAGUAUUUCGGUAUGUAAAGCCCUAUCAGUCGGGAAGCAAAUGCCGGUACCUGACUAAGAAGCUCCGGCUAAAUACGUGCCAGAAGCCGCGGUAAUACGUAUGGAGCAAGCGUUAUCCGGAUUUACUGGGGGUAAAGGGAGCGUAGGCGGUAAGGCAAGUCUGAUGUGAAAGGCCAGGGCUCAACCCUGGGACUGCAGUGGAAACUGUUUAACUGGAGUGUGGGAGAGGUAAGUGGAAUUCGUGGUGUAGCGGUGAAAGGCGUAGAGAUCAAGAGGAACACCAGUGGCGAAGGCGGCCUGCGGGACGAUGACUGACGCUGAGGCUCGAAAGCGUGGGGAGCAAACAGGAUUAGAUACCCGGGUAGUC
This 440-nucleotide ribosomal RNA is filed under the name uncultured bacterium. RNAcentral's name for it is "partial 16S ribosomal RNA". It matches the Rfam family "Bacterial small subunit ribosomal RNA", at positions 338 to 795 of the family's 1533-position model. The record is from RNAcentral.